RNAcentral lists this ribosomal RNA (253 nucleotides) under uncultured bacterium. RNAcentral's name for it is "partial 16S ribosomal RNA". It matches the Rfam family "Bacterial small subunit ribosomal RNA", at positions 524 to 776 of the family's 1533-position model. The record is from RNAcentral.
UACGGAGGGGGCAAGCGUUGUUCGGAAUUACUGGGCGUAAAGCGUACGUAGGCGGCUUUGUAAGUUAGAGGUGAAAGCCCGGGGCUCAACUCCGGAAUUGCCUUUAAGACUGCAUCGCUUGAAUCAUGGAGAGGUGAGUGGAAUUCCGAGUGUAGAGGUGAAAUUCGUAGAUAUUCGGAAGAACACCAGUGGCGAAGGCGACUCACUGGACAUGUAUUGACGCUGAGGUACGAAAGCGUGGGGAGCAAACAGG